UCUGUCUCUUCAGCUCUGUGAAGCUGCCUCACCGUUUGGGAGUUCUCCCUCCCUGGACUGUAGCCCAGGAGUUACCUCUCGGCAGAAAGGCCAGCUGAUGCGCAGAGAAGUGAAGAGAAGGCCAAGCUAUCAGGGUUUCCUACAGCCUGCAUCAACUCCACAAAAAUAAGCAAUAAAAUAUUUGCACAUUGUGGUCUA
Molecule: non-coding RNA, 198 nt
Organism: Macaca mulatta (Rhesus monkey)
Lineage: Eukaryota; Metazoa; Chordata; Mammalia; Primates; Cercopithecidae
Source: RefSeq, a predicted model, not a curated record